This 89-nucleotide transfer RNA is filed under the name Bifidobacterium asteroides. RNAcentral's name for it is "tRNA-Ser". It matches the Rfam family "tRNA". Rfam says of the family: Transfer RNA (tRNA) molecules are approximately 80 nucleotides in length. The record is from RNAcentral. Lineage: Bacteria; Bacillati; Actinomycetota; Actinomycetes; Bifidobacteriales; Bifidobacteriaceae. RNAcentral also lists the same sequence under 4 other names.
GGUUGAGUGUCCGAGCGGUCUAAGGAGCACGCCUCGAAAGCGUGUGAGGGCAACUCCCUCCGCGAGUUCGAAUCUCGCCUCAACCGCCA